GAAGAAGCUUUAGAGCUAUCCUGCGAAGAAGAACAAGAACGGAGAACAAAGAGUAAAAACAAUUUGAAAUUUCAAGAAGGAAAGAACAAAGAAACAAGUAGAAGUGGAGAAAAGUUCUGGAGAAUGAAGGGGAUAUCUACUGACAACAAGAUUUUUAGAGAAGAAAUAAACUUUGGUCAUUGAUUACUGUAGAACGGAUUCGCAUACCCAAAGAAAUAGAGAUUCACACGAGUUGAGCACUUGGAUCGAUAAGAAGUCAUCGGGAUUGCUCGAGGUGACACGUUUGGUAUUUCGACACGAGUACUAGGCAGCAGUAGACGCAAGCGAGGAUUUCGUUAUUUAGAGUACAUGAGUUGAAAGUUUCUGGUGAGCCCCGCAUUUGUUCGCGUGGGCAAAGAUUGUUAUUUAUUUGUUAUAGUCUCUUUCUCGAAACUCUUAGAGUCACUCUAUAGUCGUUUUUAUUAGUGUCAUGAGUAUUCAUUCAUUAUAUUGGAUUAUUUACUAGCAUUAUACUUUCUUUCCGUAUUUGUUUUAGAUGGGUUUAGUGUUAUAAUGUUGGUAAGGUUGGUAAUGUUCGUGAAAACUCAUUUUUUUGUUAGUUGAUGAAGAUUAUGACA
Nicotiana tabacum (common tobacco) is the source of this 617-nucleotide long non-coding RNA. RefSeq lists it as uncharacterized. The record is from RefSeq and is a predicted model, not a curated record. Lineage: Eukaryota; Viridiplantae; Streptophyta; Magnoliopsida; Solanales; Solanaceae.